RNAcentral lists this ribosomal RNA (169 nucleotides) under Escherichia coli. Its description in RNAcentral is "partial 16S ribosomal RNA". It matches the Rfam family "Bacterial small subunit ribosomal RNA", at positions 1 to 161 of the family's 1533-position model. The record is from RNAcentral. Lineage: Bacteria; Pseudomonadati; Pseudomonadota; Gammaproteobacteria; Enterobacterales; Enterobacteriaceae.
UUAAAUUGAAGAGUUUGAUCAUGGCUCAGAUUGAACGCUGGCGGCAGGCCUAACACAUGCAAGUCGAACGGUAACAGGAAGCAGCUUGCUGCUUUGCUGACGAGUGGCGGACGGGUGAGUAAUGUCUGGGAAACUGCCCGAUGGAGGGGGAUAACUACUGGAAACGGUA